UACGGAGGGAGCUAGCGUUGUUCGGAAUUACUGGGCGUAAAGCGCACGUAGGCGGCUUUGUAAGUUAGAGGUGAAAGCCCGGGGCUCAACUCCGGAACUGCCUUUAAGACUGCAUCGCUUGAAUCCAGGAGAGGUGAGUGGAAUUCCGAGUGUAGAGGUGAAAUUCGUAGAUAUCGAGAGGAACACCUGUGGCGAAGGCGGCCUUCUGGACGGUGACUGACGCUGAGACGCGAAAGCGUGGGGAGCAAACAGG
This 253-nucleotide ribosomal RNA is filed under the name uncultured bacterium. RNAcentral describes it as "partial 16S ribosomal RNA". It matches the Rfam family "Bacterial small subunit ribosomal RNA", at positions 524 to 776 of the family's 1533-position model. The record is from RNAcentral.